This 344-nucleotide ribosomal RNA is filed under the name uncultured bacterium. RNAcentral describes it as "bacterial SSU rRNA". It matches the Rfam family "Bacterial small subunit ribosomal RNA", at positions 28 to 365 of the family's 1533-position model. The record is from RNAcentral.
GAUGAACGCUAGCUACAGGCUUAACAUAUGCAAGUCGCGGGGCAGCAUGUCGGUUGCUUGCAACCGAUGAUGGCGACCGGCGCACGGGUGAGUAACGCGUAUCCAACCUGCCCUUCACCACGGAAUAAUCCAGUGAAAAUUGGUCUAAUACCGUAUGAGGUCAUACGAUGGCAUCAGAAUAUGACGAAAGGUUUAGCGGUGAAGGAUGGGGAUGCGUCUGAUUAGCUUGUUGGUGAGGUAACGGCUCACCAAGGCGACGAUCAGUAGGGGUUCUGAGAGGAAGGUCCCCCACAUUGGAACUGAGACACGGUCAACUCCUACGGAGGCGAGCAGUGAGGAAUAUU